Molecule: ribosomal RNA, 253 nt
Filed under: uncultured bacterium
Lineage: Bacteria
Description: partial 16S ribosomal RNA
Rfam family: Bacterial small subunit ribosomal RNA
Source: RNAcentral
UACGUAGGGUGCAAGCGUUAAUCGGAAUUACUGGGCGUAAAGCGCACGUAGGCGGAUAUUUAAGUCAGGGGUGAAAUCCCAGAGCUCAACUCUGGAACUGCCUUUGAUACUGGGUAUCUUGAGUAUGGAAGAGGUAAGUGGAAUUCCGAGUGUAGAGGUGAAAUUCGUAGAUAUUCGGAGGAACACCAGUGGCGAAGGCGGCUUACUGGUCCAUUACUGACGCUGAGGUGCGAAAGCGUGGGGAGCAAACAGG